GAUAAACGCUGGCGGCGUGCUUAACACAUGCAAGUCGAACGAAGUUUUUCUUUCGGGAGGAACUUAGUGGCGGACGGGUGAGUAACGCGUGGGUAACCUGCCCUGUACAGGGGGACAACAGCUGGAAACGGCUGCUAAUACCGCAUAAGCCCUUAGCACUGCAUGGUGCAUAGGGAAAAGGAGCAAUCCGGUACAGGAUGGACCCGCGUCUGAUUAGCCAGUUGGCAGGGUAACGGCCUACCAAAGCGACGAUCAGUAGCCGAUCGGAGAGGAUGUACGGCCACAUUGGGACUAAGACACGGCCCAGACUCGUACGGGAGGCAGCAGUGGGGAAUAUUGCACAAUGGAGGAAACUCUGAUGCAGCGACGCCGGGUGAGUGAAGAAGUAUGUUGGUAUGUAAAGCUCUAUCAGCAGGAAAGAAAAUGACGGUACCUGACUAAGAAGCACCGGCUAAAUACGUG
This 462-nucleotide ribosomal RNA is filed under the name uncultured bacterium. RNAcentral describes it as "partial 16S ribosomal RNA". It matches the Rfam family "Bacterial small subunit ribosomal RNA", at positions 28 to 507 of the family's 1533-position model. The record is from RNAcentral.